RNAcentral lists this ribosomal RNA (254 nucleotides) under uncultured bacterium. Its description in RNAcentral is "partial 16S ribosomal RNA". It matches the Rfam family "Bacterial small subunit ribosomal RNA", at positions 107 to 354 of the family's 1533-position model. The record is from RNAcentral.
UGAGUAACACGUGAGUGACCUGCCUUUUAGACUGGAACAACUUACCGAAAGGUGAGCUAAUGCCGGAUGAGUUAUAUAAGUGCAUGUUUAUAUAGGAAAAGUUGGGGAGACCUGACACUGAAAGAUGGACUCGCGUCCCAUUAGCUAGUUGGUAGGGUAAUGGCCUACCAAGGCGACGAUGGGUAGCCGGCCUGAGAGGGUGGCCGGCCACACUGGGACUGAGACACGGCCCAGACUCCUACGGAAGGCAGCAG